GACGAACGCUGGCGGCGUGCCUAAUACAUGCAAGUAGAACGCUGAAGGAGGAGCUUGCUUCUCUGGAUGAGUUGCGAACGGGUGAGUAACGCGUAGGUAACCUGCCUGGUAGCGGGGGAUAACUAUUGGAAACGAUAGCUAAUACCGCAUAAUAGUAGAUGUUGCAUGACAUUUGCUUAAAAGGUGCAAUUGCAUCACUACCAGAUGGACCUGCGUUGUAUUAGCUAGUUGGUGGGGUAACGGCUCACCAAGGCGACGAUACAUAGCCGACCUGAGAGGGUGAUCGGCCACACUGGGACUGAGACACGGCCCAGACUCCUACGGGAGGCAGCAGUAGGGAAUCUUCGGCAAUGGACGGAAGUCUGACCGAGAAACGCCGCGUGAGUGAAGAAGGGUUUCGGAUCGUAAAGCUCUGUUGUAAGAGAAGAACGAGUGUGAGAGUGGAAAGUUCACACUGUGACGGUAUCUUACCAGAAAGGGACGGCUAACUACGUG
This 495-nucleotide ribosomal RNA is filed under the name uncultured bacterium. RNAcentral's name for it is "partial 16S ribosomal RNA". It matches the Rfam family "Bacterial small subunit ribosomal RNA", at positions 28 to 507 of the family's 1533-position model. The record is from RNAcentral.